GCUGGUCAGGCUGAGUGGAAAUUGACUUAACAGAUGAACUAACAUUUGACUUUUGGAAUGGUUGGCCUGGCUUGGCAUUUAGUGACAUUUGCCUUGUCACACAGAUGCAUUCAUAGGGCUGGAAGAGAAAAAAAUAAAUAAAACAAAAACGGGGGUGGACGAGUUUAAUUAUGUACUGACCACUCUUAUGGGACCUAUUAGCUAGCUGAUCUCCAGACAGCAGAGUGGACAGUGAAAGAUGUUGAAUUAAGUCAUGACAUGUCACUUAUUUCUCAAUUUCUCUUUCACAUAGGCUGCGCCGUUUAAUGAAGCUGUAAUGGAAACAAAAUGUAAAUGCGCAGUAUGCUCUUUUCUGAGUUUUCUCCAGAGACAUCAUGUAACUGCACAGCCCAGAAGACUGUGAAUGAGUCACUGACCUCAGCUUCAACACCGUAUUUAAACUGCACUUUGUUCUCCAUUGAUGGAGAUGUUUGCGUGAUGUUGAUCACUUCUGUCAUUAAAGUUCACCAAUCCUUUUUUCAUGUUAGCACACAUGAAAUGACCUAUGUGUGAAAAGGUGAAAGGUGUCAACGUUACUGAUCUGAUUGAGUCUGACUCCUUCAUCAUCCUUAUUUCCAGCAGCAAAGCUGCUACGUGCUGCAAGGUGCCUGCCAGUUAUUAAAGGGAGAGAAAAAACAUUAGCGGCUAGCAAAUAGCAGUGUAAUGCAACAUAACUUUUAGCUGCUUAAGGGCCAGAAUUGGUGAAACCUAAUUAGGUAUGGGAUGAAAGUAAAGACAAGAACUUCUUUUUUUCAGUUUUUUGAAUCAGGUAACUAAAAAAAAAAAAAUACAGCUCCAAACCAAUGCUAAAUCUUCUCUGUGUGGUGGACAUGACAAUCGAUGAUAACUUGCUAACCUAGCAAGCCAUAAAAAACAAACCAAACUAAACACAAGGAGCUAGAAAACAGCAAACACCGAAACCCAGAAAACAACCCCAAACAACCAAGAAAAGGUUCACAAAAGGUGCAGGCGGCCAGGAAAACAGUUCCGAAUAAGUUCAGGGGGCCGGCCCGGAGGACGACGGCCCAAGAGUCCAGACCCGGCCGGGCGGGAGGCACCGGCGGCGACGGAGCAGGUCAGGAGGCCAUCCAUGACGGGGAGGACGUCCAAUCAGAGGCCUGGAAGGAGGCGGGCGAUGUUGAGGCACAGGAUGUGGUGCAGGACCAGGCGAAGCUGAGGCAGGACCAGGCGAAGCUGAGGCAGGACCAGGCGAAGCUGAGGCAGGACCAGGCGAAGCUGAAGACUCGGAGGCUGGACCAGACGAGGAUGGCACUGCAGGCAACGAAGACUCGGAGGCUGGACCAGACGAGGAUGGCACUGCAGGCGACGAAACAGAUGGUGGUGCUGCAGGCGACGAAACAGAUGGUGGCGCUGCAGGCGACGAAACAGAUGGUGGUGCUGCAGGCGAAGGCGGCUGGACGGGCCCCUCGGACCCUCCAGCGGAGACGAACAAAGGCUGGUGCGGUUCUCCAGAACCCCCAGCGGGAACAGAAGGCUGGACGGGCCCCUCGGACCCUCCAGCUGAGGCAGAAGGCUGGACGGGCCCCUCGGACCCUCCAGCGGAGGCAGACGAAGGCUGGACGGGCCCCUCGGACCGGUGGAGUAAACGACUGAGGUGAAAACUGAGCAGGUGACUGAGCUGAUAGGUGAGCUAAAGUCUGAGCUAUAGAGAGAAGUUUAAUAUGUAUCGAUUGUUGUAAAGAUGGUAGCAAUGGUGGGUUAGGUGGUGGAUUAGCAGUAAGCUGAGCUAGUUCCCCUGAGCCUCAAGAACCUGAAGAAAACCGCUGGAUGGGCUCACCUGAGCCUCCAGCGAGGUCAGAAAUAGGUGCAGGUACCUGCCGGAUACCGGCCUCUCCCACCCGAGGAGAAGGUACGGGUGCCGCGACAGGCACCGGAGCAGGGACCAGCUGGACCUCAGCCUCCCUCACCUGAAGCACUGAAACAGGUGCAGGGGAAUACUGGGCCCGAGCUACCCUGGGAGCAGGAACACAACGGGGCGAAGGAGCGGGCUCAGCAAACACAGACUCCUCUACAAUGUUUUUUAGCUUCCUACCACCACCAUGUCUAAUAGUCUUAACAGUCUCAGUUUUAGCAGUGUUCAUAUGAUUGUCUUUUUCAAGCUCAGAGGAACGAAAGCAGUCAUAACUCACCACUGGGAGUUGUCCCGCAGAGAAAGAGUGGUGACGGUGUGAGCGCCGCCUCCUCCGGGAAGUGGGAGGUGGCAAACUGGGCUGCAAAUCCUCCAACGGACCGGGCUGCAAUGAGGAAUCAGAGAGUUUAUGAAGCUCAGAACGCUGCAGACCCAAAAACAGAGCGAAGGACUGCAGCGGAGUGAGUCUAACGUCCGGCGUCACAUAAUCCUUCUUCCUUCGCCGCUUAACCCUCUUGUCUGACUGGAAAUUGGAGGUGGAGGUGGAGGUGUAGUGACCGGAGAGAAUGAGCACGUGCUCAAUCUGAUCUUCCAAGGCAUAGGUGCUGGCUCGGCCGUAGCCAUGGUGGUUUGGAGGCUGCGGGGCCCUCCGAAAGCCAAACGAGACCCAUAGAAGGGUGACUGGAGCUCCUGGGCAUGCUUAGCCUCCUGCCUCACGCUCUCCUUGAGGAAGGCAGAAACUGCGGGUCGCCGAUAGCAUACGGAGUCUGCUGGGUCCAUGUUCUGGUCGCGAUCUUCUGUUAUGUGACGGCUGUGUGCAGGAAGGAAAGGGACCCAAAGUGCAGACUCCAGAGACAAACGUAAACUCAAACAGCUUUAAUGCUGAACUCCAACAGAACAAAAGUAAGAAUCCAAAUAACUUAUACAGGCAGCCAAAACACACAGCUAGAUAAGGGUAGAUAAGAGUAGAUCGCGACACAGACCAAAGAGAACACAGGGCUUAAAUACACAGAGGGAGCAAUCAGGAAAUGGGAGACAGGAGGGAAACACAGCUGGGGCAAAUCAGGGCUAACGAGACAAGGGAAGCAAAACCAGAUACACUAACAUGAAACACGGACUUUCAAAGUAAAACAAGAAACAUAACACAGAGACGCGAACUUAACAAGGGGAUACAGCCGACAGGGGAGACAGAGCAACUAUAGAACACAGAGACAUACACCAUAAAACAGAACUCUAAGAAACCAAAGACUAGAAAUGAUAAAUAAUAUAAUAAACUCAAAACCUCUGGGUCGACCCAGGCAUCCUAACAGUUCAAAGUCGAAAUGUCUAUUGCAUAGCAUUGCAUAAGUUUCAGCUAUAUACAGCUAUAGCUUGACUGCAGACGCCCGAUCCUAUUUUUGUGUCUUUAAAGUAUAUAAAGACUGAGCAACAUUCUGAUGAGCUGUCUGGUUUUGGACUCAAGGUUUUACUAAGAGCAAGGCUGAUUCUUAAGAUUGAUUUUUUUCCCUCUCUGAGAAUCUGAAAAUCGGAGUAAGC
This 3445-nucleotide long non-coding RNA is filed under the name Oreochromis niloticus (Nile tilapia). RNAcentral's name for it is "lncRNA (ENSONIG00000023441.2)". The record is from RNAcentral. Lineage: Eukaryota; Metazoa; Chordata; Actinopteri; Cichliformes; Cichlidae.